UCGGUAUAGGUACCGGAUACAUUUCAAGAAAGUGUUUUUUUUUUUUUAUAUAUAUAUAUGGGAGGUUAGGGUUAGGGCUAACCCUAACCCUAGAGAAAAGGGUUUCUGUUAUCUUCGGAAAUGUAAAGAAAGCCACUUCCGGUACGAAACAUCCGGUGAUAAUGUUGUCAUCACACAGAAAUAUUUUUCUAAAAGUUUUUUGCAACAAGUGAACAACAACUGGUCAGAAGACGACCGACAUUCAUAAUUUAAAUAUAAAACCUUUCUUUCAUGCGUUCAAAUACAUCCGAAUCAAUACUUGAAACCAGAAAAAAAGUUUUAAUGAUUUCUAUAAUCUAAGUUUUCAUUAAUUCAAGAGAUAAUGGACAGUCAACAUCCAUUGAAAAGGUUACAAAAGCAAUUAAAAUUUUGGAAAAGAGAAAAUAUAGAUAAUAAAUGGAAAUUGACCAGGUCAGUGUGUUACAUAUAUAUUAGGCCUGAAAUUUUGUUGAAGGCAAUUAGUUGAUUGAAUGGACCUAACGAUGAUGAUGAUGAUGAUGACGCAAAGAAGCAGAAGAAAUAAUAGACACAAGGACAGCAACUUUAAGAAGUGCGAGUUAAACUUUCAACGUAAAGAACCGGAAUGAUCUGUCACAACUUGGGCUAUUAAAAGGAACUCCAUCUUAACUAAUUCAUGUCUAUAUAUAACUAGCAGAAAUACCCAGCGUUGCCCAUUUUAAAGAACCUAAGGAAAUUCAAGAAUGCCUUUUAGAUCUCUAAAUAACAUGAAUCAUGGACCAUGCAGGCCUCACCUCCUAGUAGCUGAGAUACCAACUUUAUAUGUUAACUAGCAACUAAGCCCGAUUUCACCCAGUCGAUUUGGAUGAUGUGGUUGUAAAACCUGCUCUGUGUAAGCAUUCGACUUGAUUGGGUAUGCUUAUGUUAAAAAACAAUUUUAGAAUGACUUUUUUUCUGUCAAAACGCU
This is a long non-coding RNA of Octopus sinensis (East Asian common octopus), 964 nucleotides long. RefSeq lists it as uncharacterized. The transcript has 2 exons. The record is from RefSeq and is a predicted model, not a curated record. Lineage: Eukaryota; Metazoa; Mollusca; Cephalopoda; Octopoda; Octopodidae.